CCUACGGGCGGCAGCAGUGAGGAAUAUUGGUCAAUGGCCGGAAGGCUGAACCAGCCAUGCCGCGUGAAGGUCAGUGCCCUAUGGGCGUUAAACUUCUUUUGUGCGGGAGCAAUAAUGGUCACGUGUGGCCAGACGAGAGUACCGUACGAAUAAGCAUCGGCUAACUCCGUGCCAGCAGCCGCGGUAAUACGGGGGAUGCAAGCGUUAUCCGGAUUUAUUGGGUUUAAAGGGUGCGUAGGCGGCAAAAUAAGUCUGAAGUAAAAGGCGUUGGCUCAACCAACGUAAGCUUUGGAAACUGUUAAGCUAGCGUGCAGGAGAGGUUAGUGGAAUUCCAUGUGUAGCGGUAAAAUGCGUAGAUAUAUGGAGGAACACCAGUGGCGAAGGCGGCUAACUGGCCUGUAACGGACGCUGAGGCACGAAAGCGUGGGGAGCAAAUAGGAUUAGAUACCCCAGUAGUC
This 458-nucleotide ribosomal RNA is filed under the name uncultured bacterium. Its description in RNAcentral is "partial 16S ribosomal RNA". It matches the Rfam family "Bacterial small subunit ribosomal RNA", at positions 338 to 795 of the family's 1533-position model. The record is from RNAcentral.